Molecule: ribosomal RNA, 440 nt
Filed under: uncultured bacterium
Lineage: Bacteria
Description: partial 16S ribosomal RNA
Rfam family: Bacterial small subunit ribosomal RNA
Source: RNAcentral
CCUACGGGAGGCUGCAGUGGGGAAUCUUGUACAAUGGAGGGAACUCUGAUGCAGCGACGCCGCGUGAGUGAAGAAGUAUUUCGGUACGUAAAGCUCUAUCAGCAGGAAAGAACAUGACGGUACCUGACUAAGAAGCCCCGGCGAACUACGUGCCAGCAGCCGCGGUAAUACGUAGGGGGCAAGCGUUAUCCGGAGUUACUGGGUGUAAAGGGAGCGUAGACGGCAGGGCAAGUAUGGAGUGAAAUGCCGGGGCCCAACCCCGGAACUGCUCUGGAAACUGUGAAGCUGGAGUGCAGGAGAGGUAAGCGGAAGUCCUGGUGUAGCGGUGAAAUGCGUAGAUAUCAGGAGGAACACCGGCGGCGAAGGCGGCUGACUGGACUGUAACUGACGUUGAGGCUCGAAGGCGUGGGGAGCGAACAGGAUUAGAUACCCCAGUAGUC